AUUGAACGCUGGCGGCAGGCCUAACACAUGCAAGUCGAACGAGUGGCGGACGGGUGAGUAAUGUCUGGGAAACUGCCUGAUGGAGGGGGAUAACUACUGGAAACGGUAGCUAAUACCGCAUACCAUCAGGUGUGCCCAGAUGGGAUUAGCUUGUUGGUGGGGUAACGGCUCACCAAGGCGACGAUCCCUAGCUGGUCUGAGAGGAUGAUCGGCCACACUGGAACUGAGACACGGCCCAGACUCCUACGGGAGGCAGCAGUGGGGAAUAUUCGACAAUGGACGAAAGUCUGACCGAGCAACGCCGCGUGAGUGAAGAAGGUUUUCGGGUCGUAAAACUCUUUUGUUGGGGAGGCGUUAUCUAACCAGGAAGCCACGGCUAACUACGUGCCAGCAGCCGCGGUAAUUC
Molecule: ribosomal RNA, 406 nt
Filed under: uncultured bacterium
Lineage: Bacteria
Description: partial 16S ribosomal RNA
Rfam family: Bacterial small subunit ribosomal RNA
Source: RNAcentral